RNAcentral lists this ribosomal RNA (378 nucleotides) under Triticum aestivum (bread wheat). Its description in RNAcentral is "partial small subunit ribosomal RNA". Lineage: Eukaryota; Viridiplantae; Streptophyta; Magnoliopsida; Poales; Poaceae. The record is from RNAcentral.
AUGAAUUUUCUUGCCUGGAACUGUCGGGGUUUGGGGUUGGACUCGACAGUUGGCAAACUGCGUGACCUGAUACGGUCCCACAACCCAGCGCUGGUUUUUCUAUCGGAAACAAAGAAGACGGCCAGGGCUAUGGAAAGACUAAAAUGGAGGCUUGGUUUUCAAUCGGGUGUGGCAGUGGACUGCCAGGGUCUAAGUGGUGGUUUGGCCCUUUGGUGGCAUGACAAUGUGUCUAUUUCGAUUAGGCCGUGGUGCCAAUAUUUCAUUGACGCUAAGAUUGUCCAUGAGGGAACUCCCUAUAGAUUCACUGGUUUCUAUGGGGAGCCACGGACGGAGCUUCAGAAAAAAUCAUGGGAUGCUAUUCGGUUCCUGAGAGCAUAG